GUACCAGCCGCCGCGGUAAUACGGAGGGGGUUAGCGUUGUUCGGAAUUACUGGGCGUAAAGCGCGUGUAGGCGGACUGGAAAGUUGGGGGUGAAAUCCCGGGGCUCAACCUCGGAACUGCCCUCAAAACUAUCAGUCUAGAGUCCGAGAGAGGUGAGUGGAACUCCGAGUGUAGAGGUGAAAUUCGUAGAUAUUCGGAAGAACACCAGUGGCGAAGGCGGCUCACUGGCUCGGUACUGACGCUGAGGUGCGAAAGCGUGGGGAGCAAACAGGAUUAGAAACCCCGGUAGUCC
RNAcentral lists this ribosomal RNA (292 nucleotides) under uncultured bacterium. RNAcentral's name for it is "partial 16S ribosomal RNA". It matches the Rfam family "Bacterial small subunit ribosomal RNA", at positions 505 to 796 of the family's 1533-position model. The record is from RNAcentral.